AUUUAUACAUUUUCUUUCUUAUUAGAACCUAAGCUUGUCUUGUUAGGGACUGUGUCUUUAAUAGUGUUUACAUCUCCAGAACCUAGUAGUAUGAUGUGCAUGUGCUUGUUGUUUGUUACUUAACCCUUCUGUCUUUGUAUGUGCCCAGCACAUUGGAGGAGUAAAUCCACAGUUUUGACUGAAUAAUACAUUAAUGGUUAGGUUUAAGCAAAUUUAUUAGUGAUUACAAGUAUAAUUUUCCUCAGGUAUCACUUUAUUCUUUCAUUUAUCCUAGCUAAACCAUGUAUUCUCUUAUAGUUUAAUUUACUCUGUGGUAUGAAGUAUUGAUCUUCUAUCAAAAUUCUGCCAAACUGCUUUGGAUUUAUGCCAUCUAUUUUUUUUUUUACCAACUAUAGAUAGUUCUCUCUUUCUGUAAGUGGACUGUUGGGAAAACCUUUUAUCGAGCAAUUUUAAAGUAAAGUGAAUUUACCCCAGACUUGGCUUCAAGGGAGAAAAGGAGACAGGAAGGGAGUCAUGAGUCUGGGAAGGGAGAGGGCCAGGAGAUGAUUCGAGCACACAUGGACGCUGGGUACUGAGAAGCAAGAGAAGUCUUGGGACCAGGCAGGUGUAGCCAGCCACCGCCCCACAAAGGAGAGGACAGGUAACAUGUGGACUGAGGAAAGACACAUGACACCUGAGCGUGGAUGGACAGGAGACACACAAGCAGAUGCCAGACAGCAGGAAAAGUGGGCAAAGCCACCAAAAGGCUCCCCUCUUAGUGCUGGAGGUCUCAAGCCAAGCCCAGAUGCUGAAGCUGCAGAGGUGGAAGGAAUCCCGCUGCAUGAACAAUCCUUUUUGUUCCUCCUCCCCACUUUUUCAUUAAUACCUUUUAGAUUCUUCACCUCAUUUAAAGAUAUGCAAGGCUGUUUUCCGUUUCUUACAUCACAGUAUCCCAUGUAUCCCUCCCUCUCCUUCUGCUUCCUGAUGUGACGAAUGGUAUUUUGUGUUUUAGGAAUGAAAAAAUCAACACAACUAUGGGCUUACUCUCAGGGGAAGCACAUCUAAUGUCAGAAUAUUCUGUGGAUGAGAUGCUGAUGGGUGAAGACACACUCUAUGAGAACCUUUUAGUUACUACCUCGGGGGAAGCACAUCUACUCUCAGAACUCAGAGGAAAAGACAGUUGUGGAGGAAGACACUCUCUGAACAUUUUG
This is a long non-coding RNA of Sarcophilus harrisii (Tasmanian devil), 1190 nucleotides long. The record is from Ensembl. NCBI's taxonomy places the organism in Eukaryota, Metazoa, Chordata, Mammalia, Dasyuromorphia, Dasyuridae.